GCAGAAGAGAAGUUCGCAGAGAGUUUGGGAGUCAAAUGAAGAAGAUGAAGGAACAGUGGAAAGGCGCGCCAAUUUGAAUGAAAGAAGCGCUAGCGACGCACAGCGCUGGCCGUUGAUGGGGCCACGUGUCGCGAGAUUAAGAAAGGAAGUCCAAACGUUAAAGAAGCAACACGUGAGGUGGCACGUGAGGCGGCCCCACUUACCACGUGGACUGAGGGCACGACCACUUAGUCUCUUCGCUGAGAACGAGUUCUCGACUCGAGACUGGGGGGCUUGUGAUCCGAUCGGUCAUC
RNAcentral lists this long non-coding RNA (293 nucleotides) under Phaseolus vulgaris (common bean). RNAcentral describes it as "long non-coding RNA (PVUL_LNC000730)". Lineage: Eukaryota; Viridiplantae; Streptophyta; Magnoliopsida; Fabales; Fabaceae. The record is from RNAcentral.